Molecule: ribosomal RNA, 1938 nt
Filed under: Triticum aestivum (bread wheat)
Lineage: Eukaryota; Viridiplantae; Streptophyta; Magnoliopsida; Poales; Poaceae
Description: partial small subunit ribosomal RNA
Source: RNAcentral
AUGGCGAAAACCAAACGAAGAAAGGGAAUGCCAAGUGUAUACAAGAAGGCGGCAAUCAAAAGAGAAACAAAUGCAGGGGGGGUAGUAACUUCUUUGGAGCCUCACCAUGAAGCCUAUGAACCAGAAAGAACACCAUCCAGAGUGGAGCAGCCUGAUGCGAAUGACUCAACACCAGACCCACCAUUACCAUCUCAGGCUCCACAGGUAACUCCGUCGUGUGAUGAUAAUGCUCUUACAUUGGAUGAUCUAGAUAUACCCAUUGCCCACCGAAAACAACCUCGAUUAACUGCUGGGAAAUUGCCAUCAAGAAUGUCACCCUACAAUGUCUCCAAUUAUGUUUCAUAUUCCUCUGUGGGCCCUCAAUACAAUUCAUUUAUAGCUGCUCUAGAUUCGAUGGCACCACUACCACAUGACUGGCAGGAGGCAGUAAGGGACCCAAGGUGGAGAGCAGCAAUGGUUGAAGAAAUGACUGCACUCGAUAAGAAUAAUACUUGGGAACUCUCUAUACUUCCUGCAGGUAAGAAAGUUGUGGGUUGUAAGUGGGUGUUCACCAUAAAGCAAACACCUGAGGGCAAAAUAGAGAGAUAUAAAGCCAGACUAGUGGCAAAAGGGUAUAGUCAAACAUACGGAGUGGAUUACGAUGAGACUUUUGCCCCAGUGGCUAAGAUGAAUACUAUUAGAACCUUGAUCUCAGUAGCAGCGAAUUAUAAGUGGAAUCUUUUUCAGAUGGAUGUUAAGAAUGCUUUUCUACAUGGUGACUUGCAAGAGGAAGUAUAUAUGGAAAUCCCACAGGGGUUUAAUAGUAAGGAGACGGAGGGUAAGGUGUGCAGACUAAAAAAAUCAUUAUAUGGACUCAAGCAAUCACCAAGGGCCUGGUUUGGGAAGUUUUGCAAGGAGAUCCGCGCAAUUGGCUAUCAGCAAAGCAAUGCUGAUCAUACACUGUUUUUCAGGAGUAAUCAUGGCAAACUUACAAUUCUUAUGGUUUAUGUUGAUGACAUUGUUAUUACAGGUAAUGAUGAUGAGGGGAUAAGAAGGUUGAAAAAAAUGCUAGCAAAAGCAUUUGAAGGAAAAGAUCUUGGGCAUCUAAAUUAUUUUCUAGGAAUUGAAGUUGCAUAUUCAUCACAAGGUAUAUAUCUCUCACAGCGGAAAUAUGUUCUUGAUUUACUUGUUGAGACUGGAAUGCUAGACUGUAAACCUGCCUCUACACCAAUUGAGGCAAACCAUCGAAUUAAGGCAGAUAUGGGUGAUCCUGUUGAUAAAGGUCAGUAUCAACGGCUGGUAGGGAGACUAAUCUAUUUGUCCCAUACUAGGCCAGAUAUUGCAUAUGCCGUGAGUAUUGUGAGCAGAUAUAUGCAUGACCCAAGGUCUACACAUUUAAAUGCUGCAUAUAGAAUCUUGAGAUACCUAAAGGGAUGCCCUGGGAAAGGAAUUCUAUUCUCAAAUUCUGGACAUCUCAGUAUAGAGUGUUACACAGAUGCUGACUGGGCUGGGUGUCUAGAUGAUAGAAGGUCCACUUCUGGCUACUGCAUCUUUGUUGGAGGAAAUUUGGUUAGCUGGAGGAGCAAAAAACAAAGUGUAGUGGCCAGGUCUACUGCUGAAGCAGAGUUACGGUCCAUGGUCUCUGGAAUAUGUGAAUUAAUAUGGCUACGCUUACUACUUACUGAACUACAAUUGUACAAAGGGGGCCCUCUUCGGAUCUACUGUGAUAAUCAAGCCACAAUAAAUAUAGUAAAUAAUCCAAUCCAGCAUGAUAGGACGAAACAUAUUGAAAUAGAUAGGCAUUUCAUCAAAGAGAAGCUAGAUGAGGGAACUCUUCAAGUUAGCUUUGUCAACUCAGGUGAUCAGCUUGCUGAUGUAUUAACCAAAGGUAUUAGUGUUGUAAAUUAUAUGAAAUUAUGUAACAAGAUGGGGCUCAUAGACAUAUUUGCCCCAUCUUGA